UUGUGCCUCUUCGUGAUACUCUCUCUAAAACCUCUGAUGAUCUGGGUUCACUUUUCAGCAUAGCACUUUUAGUACCCUAACUCAAUUUGGUUUUGAAAUAAAUAGUGUUUCAUUACUGAGACCUGCUCUCUUUCAAAUCUGCUGGUUGAUGCUCUUGAGAAGUGUUCAUGUUGAUGUUAUCUUGGAAAAGCUCUGCUUGAUUGCUCUGUGUGUGAUUACAACUUGGAAGUUCAUAUUUCUUGGGUCAUGGUAGUAUAGGAUCAACUAUUGUGUAUGAUUAAAUGUAUAUGUUGUUUUGCCUAGGAAAUGCCAAAGGGGGAGAUUGUUAGUGCAAUGUUUAUUUUGAUUGGCAUUUCCUAAGCGCAACAACCAAGAGUCAUCGUUUCUUGUAAUAGCUUUCUACUCUUGGAUCCUUGAAAGAAUGGAAUGCUUCAAGCUUCAUGUACCACUCUCAUCAAUCAGGUAUGUCUUGCAUACAUGUGCAUGCUUGUCAAGAGGUUAGGACUGAACUUGUCUUUGAAUCCUAUUGUAGGAUGCGAAAAUCUUUUCAAUCCUAAUGCAUUGAUAUGCGAAUUUUCAGAUGGUUUUAUCCAAAGCAUUCAAACUUUCUUAAAUUGGUUUAUGGGCUUUUCUAAAUGAUGAUUCUAUUUUAAUCCAUGCUUUAUAAAAGACGUCAUGAAGCCCAUGUACAUCAGAAACCCUAGCUCGUCCUCUCCUAUAUAUAUGUUUCUCUUAGGGUUGUUCAUGUUGGUGGAAUAUAUCAGAAUAUUUGGUCGUUGCCUUCUUGAGAGUUUUCUGCCUUUAUCUUCAGAAAGCAUUGAGCUAAAGUUUCAUGUGAGAAUCCUUCAUAAGCUGUUCCUUGUUUAGCUUUUGAAGGGUUAUCAAAUCCCAAGCUUUUUCUGUCAAAAAAGUUUUCUGGUUUUAUGCUUCAUGUGUGUUGGUAGUUCAUGCAUGAUUUGUGCCUUGAGGUGAUUGACAACCGAGGUGAGAGUUGUGCCAUCUUAAGAUUGACAAAGGAGAACAAGGUCGCUGAUUUGAAAGUAGCAAAGACGAGGAGACACCGCUGCCCACUAGAUUGGUUCUAGUAGAUGAGUUGUGUAAGAUCUUUAUGUACUUUCAUAUUCAUAUAGUGGAUUGUUCACCGGCAUAGUGCCCGCAGUUGUUUACCUCUUUGGAGGGUUUUACUGCGUCAACA
Molecule: long non-coding RNA, 1195 nt
Organism: Rosa rugosa (rugosa rose)
Lineage: Eukaryota; Viridiplantae; Streptophyta; Magnoliopsida; Rosales; Rosaceae
Exons: 2
Source: RefSeq, a predicted model, not a curated record